RNAcentral lists this ribosomal RNA (489 nucleotides) under uncultured bacterium. RNAcentral describes it as "partial 16S ribosomal RNA". It matches the Rfam family "Bacterial small subunit ribosomal RNA", at positions 30 to 506 of the family's 1533-position model. The record is from RNAcentral.
AUUGAACGCUGGCGGCAGGCCUAACACAUGCAAGUCGAACGGUAACAGGAAACAGCUUGCUGUUUCGCUGACGAGUGGCGGACGGGUGAGUAAUGUCUGGGAAACUGCCUGAUGGAGGGGGAUAACUACUGGAAACGGUAGCUAAUACCGCAUAACGUCGCAAGACCAAAGAGGGGGACCCUCGGGCCUCUUGCCAUCGGAUGUGCCCAGAUGGGAUUAGCUUGUUGGUGGGGUAACGGCUCACCAAGGCGACGAUCCCUAGCUGGUCUGAGAGGAUGACCAGCCACACUGGAACUGAGACACGGUCCAGACUCCUACGGGAGGCAGCAGUGGGGAAUAUUGCACAAUGGGCGCAAGCCUGAUGCAGCCACGCCGCGUGUAUGAAGAAGGCCUUCGGGUUGUAAAGUACUUUCAGCGGGGAGGAAGGGAGUAAAGUUAAUACCUUUGCUCAUUGACGUUACCCGCAGAAGAAGCACCGGCUAACUCCGU